RNAcentral lists this non-coding RNA (148 nucleotides) under Nomascus leucogenys (northern white-cheeked gibbon). Lineage: Eukaryota; Metazoa; Chordata; Mammalia; Primates; Hylobatidae. The record is from Rfam by way of RNAcentral.
GCCAGGCAUGGUGGUGCAUGCCUGUAGUCCCAACUACCUGGGAGGCUGAGGUGGGAGGAUCACCUGAACCCAGGAGAUUGAGGCUGCAGUGAGCUGUGAUCAUGCCACUGCACUCCAGCCUGGGCAGCAGAGUGAGACCCCAUCUCAA